GGAGGCACCGCCGGCUGCGCGGACACCCGCAUCGCCUUUCCGCGCCACGUGUAAUCGCCCAGUUAGUCCGGAUGAAAAAUUUUUGGUUAAUAUAUAGGGAGUUCCAAAAGAAUGGAAAAACUCAAGAAGAGAUGAGAUGUGCUGAUGAAGGUCUAUGUGGCUGCGAAUUGUUUGUUCUCCACCACCCCAUAUCUUCAAGAUGUGAGUGAUCUGGACCAGCAGAAAGGAACAGAUCUGCAGAGGCUUAAGAUGAAAAAUCACAAGGGCAGGAAUCAAUUUUAUCAGCAUAGCUAGUACUGGGGUGACCAGCAAUAACUGAGAAAAUAGCCUUUACUGGCACUCAAAUAAAUCAGUUUAAAGGCAAUCAUA
This is a long non-coding RNA of Vidua chalybeata, 369 nucleotides long. RefSeq lists it as uncharacterized. NCBI's taxonomy places the organism in Eukaryota, Metazoa, Chordata, Aves, Passeriformes, Viduidae. The record is from RefSeq and is a predicted model, not a curated record. The transcript is spliced from 2 exons.